GCAGUCCUACGGGAGGCAGCAGUGAGGAAUAUUGGUCAAUGGCCGAGAGGCUGAACCAGCCACGUCGCGUGAGGGAAGACUGCCCUAUGGGUUGUAAACCUCUUUUGUCAGGGAGCAACGCCGGCUACGUGUAGCCGGACUGAGAGUACCUGAAGAAAAAGCAUCGGCUAACUCCGUGCCAGCAGCCGCGGUAAUACGGAGGAUGCGAGCGUUAUCCGGAUUUAUUGGGUUUAAAGGGUGCGUAGGCGGAAUGCCAAGUCAGCGGUAAAAUCGCGGGGCUCAACCUCGCUCCGCCGUUGAAACUG
This 305-nucleotide ribosomal RNA is filed under the name uncultured bacterium. RNAcentral's name for it is "bacterial SSU rRNA". It matches the Rfam family "Bacterial small subunit ribosomal RNA", at positions 333 to 635 of the family's 1533-position model. The record is from RNAcentral.